AUACGGAGGGUGCAAGCGUUACUCGGAAUCACUGGGCGUAAAGGACGCGUAGGCGGGUUGUCAAGUCUGAUGUGAAAUCCUAUGGCUCAACCAUAGAACUGCAUUGGAAACUGGCAACCUAGAGUAUGGGAGGGGGAGAUGGAAUUAGUGGUGUAGGGGUAAAAUCCGUAGAUAUCACUAGGAAUACCGAAAGCGAAGGCGAUCUCCUGGAACAUAACUGACGCUAAGGCGUGAAAGCGUGGGGAGCAAACGGGAUUAGAUACCCUAGUAGUCC
Molecule: ribosomal RNA, 274 nt
Filed under: uncultured bacterium
Lineage: Bacteria
Description: partial 16S ribosomal RNA
Rfam family: Bacterial small subunit ribosomal RNA
Source: RNAcentral